RNAcentral lists this long non-coding RNA (517 nucleotides) under Citrus sinensis (sweet orange). RNAcentral describes it as "long non-coding RNA (CSIN_LNC003270)". Lineage: Eukaryota; Viridiplantae; Streptophyta; Magnoliopsida; Sapindales; Rutaceae. The record is from RNAcentral.
UCACAUCCUAAGCAAAGUGCGACACUUCUCAACCCUUAGAAACAAGGCCUAAAGCGUGUAUUGGCAGCUUCCAUCAUCACUUCUUGCAGUUGGAUCAAAGUUUUCUGCAGUAGGAUCAGUACAUCCUUCAGGAACUGGAACAUUCAUUUGCUGGGCUGCUUUGCCUGCAACAGCAAAAUUUACCCCCAAAAAAAAAAAUGCUUUGUUAUUCUUCAUUUGAUCUCAAUUUAUGCUCUAAAUUUGGUAGAAUGCUAGUAGCAAACCUCCCAUCAAGGCCUCUUAGCUAGGAUCAAGGGGGCUAACCAUAGAAAUUUCCACUCUGAAUAGCAUCUUCAUUAGCUUCACCAAGAGCGGCCUCACUCAAAUACUUGUCAGCCAACUGAACUCUCUUCACAUUCUCUUGCUCUUGCACAAUCAUGUUUCCGUACUCGAGCAGCUUCUCCAUUGUCAUCCUUGGUUGCUCGAAUGUUGGGGCUGCUUCCUUUGAGUUCACAAGGCUCUUGCCAAUGCUUCCAAC